RNAcentral lists this ribosomal RNA (1392 nucleotides) under uncultured bacterium. RNAcentral describes it as "16S ribosomal RNA". It matches the Rfam family "Bacterial small subunit ribosomal RNA". The record is from RNAcentral.
AGAGUUUGAUCCUGGCUCAGGAUGAACGCUGGCGGCGUGCCUAACACAUGCAAGUCGAACGAAGCGCCUAAGACGGAAUUCUUCGGAAGGAAGUUUUUUGUGACUGAGUGGCGGACGGGUGAGUAACGCGUGGGCAACCUGCCUUGUACAGGGGGACAACAGAUGGCAACGACUCUCAAUACCGUAUAAGCCUACAGUAUCGCAUGAUACAGUAGGAAAAACUCCGGUGGUACGAGAUGGACCCGCGUCUGAUUAGCUAGUUGAAGGGGUAACGGCCCACCAAGGCGACGAUCAGUAACCGGCUUGAGAGAGUGACCGGCCACAUUGGGACUGAGACACGGCCCAAACUCCUACGGGAGGCAGCAGUGGGGAAUAUUGCACAAUGGGGGGAACCCUGAUGCAGCAACGCCGCGUGAGUGAAGAAGUAUUUCGGUAUGUAAAGCUCUAUCAGCAGGGAAGAUAAUGACGGUACCUGACUAAGAAGCCCCGGCUAACUACGUGCCAGCAGCCGCGGUCAUGCGUGGGGGGCGCGCGUUCUCCGGUUUUCCUGGGUGUUGGGGGGGCGCGGGCGGCGGGGCCUGUCUGAUGUGCUGGCCCGGGGCUCAACCCCGGGACUGCAUUUGAAACUGUCCAGCUGGAGUACAGGAGAGGCAGGCGGAAUUCCUAGUGUAGCGGUGAAAUGCGUAGAUAUUGGGAGGAACACCAGUGGCGAAGGCGGCUUUCUGGACGACAACUGACGCUGAGACGCGAAAGUGUGGGGAGCAAACAGGAUUAGAUACCCUGGUAGUCCACACCGUAAACGAUGGAUACUAGGUGUUGGAGGUAUCGACUCCUUCAGUGCCGAAGUAAACACAAUAAGUAUCCCACCUGGGGAGUACGAUCGCAAGAUUGAAACUCAAAGGAAUUGACGGGGGCCCGCACAAGCAGUGGAGUAUGUGGAUUAAUUCGAAGCAACGCGAAGAACCUUACCCGGUCUUGACAUCCCGAUGCCGUACAUAGAGAUAUGUAUUUUCUUCGGAACGUCGGAGACAGGUGGUGCAUGGUUGUCGUCAGCUCGUGUCGUGAGAUGUUGGGUUAAGUCCCGCAACGAGCGCAACCCCUAUUGUCAGUUGCCAUCAUUAAGUUGGGCACUCUGGCGAGACUGCCGGUGACAAAUCGGAGGAAGGUGGGGACGACGUCAAAUCAUCAUGCCCCUUAUGACCGGGGCCUCACACGUACUACAAUGGCCAAUAACAAAGUGCAGCAAAAUCGUGAGAUGGAGCGAAUCACAAAACUUGGUCUCAGUUCGGAUUGUAGGCUGAAACUCGCCUACAUGAAGUUGGAAUUGCUAGUAAUCGCGGAUCAGCAUGCCGCGGUGAAUACGUUCCCGGGCCUUGCACACACCGCCCGUCA